This 1105-nucleotide ribosomal RNA is filed under the name Staphylococcus aureus. RNAcentral describes it as "partial 23S ribosomal RNA". It matches the Rfam family "Bacterial large subunit ribosomal RNA", at positions 442 to 1553 of the family's 2925-position model. The record is from RNAcentral. Lineage: Bacteria; Bacillati; Bacillota; Bacilli; Caryophanales; Staphylococcaceae.
AUCUGGGAGGACCAUCUCCUAAGGCUAAAUACUCUCUAGUGACCGAUAGUGAACCAGUACCGUGAGGGAAAGGUGAAAAGCACCCCGGAAGGGGAGUGAAAUAGAACCUGAAACCGUGUGCUUACAAGUAGUCAGAGCCCGUUAAUGGGUGAUGGCGUGCCUUUUGUAGAAUGAACCGGCGAGUUACGAUUUGAUGCAAGGUUAAGCAGUAAAUGUGGAGCCGUAGCGAAAGCGAGUCUGAAUAGGGCGUUUAGUAUUUGGUCGUAGACCCGAAACCAGGUGAUCUACCCUUGGUCAGGUUGAAGUUCAGGUAACACUGAAUGGAGGACCGAACCGACUUACGUUGAAAAGUGAGCGGAUGAACUGAGGGUAGCGGAGAAAUUCCAAUCGAACCUGGAGAUAGCUGGUUCUCUCCGAAAUAGCUUUAGGGCUAGCCUCAAGUGAUGAUUAUUGGAGGUAGAGCACUGUUUGGACGAGGGGCCCCUCUCGGGUUACCGAAUUCAGACAAACUCCGAAUGCCAAUUAAUUUAACUUGGGAGUCAGAACAUGGGUGAUAAGGUCCGUGUUCGAAAGGGAAACAGCCCAGACCACCAGCUAAGGUCCCAAAAUAUAUGUUAAGUGGAAAAGGAUGUGGCGUUGCCCAGACAACUAGGAUGUUGGCUUAGAAGCAGCCAUCAUUUAAAGAGUGCGUAAUAGCUCACUAGUCGAGUGACACUGCGCCGAAAAUGUACCGGGGCUAAACAUAUUACCGAAGCUGUGGAUUGUCCUUUGGACAAUGGUAGGAGAGCGUUCUAAGGGCGUUGAAGCAUGAUCGUAAGGACAUGUGGAGCGCUUAGAAGUGAGAAUGCCGGUGUGAGUAGCGAAAGACGGGUGAGAAUCCCGUCCACCGAUUGACUAAGGUUUCCAGAGGAAGGCUCGUCCGCUCUGGGUUAGUCGGGUCCUAAGCUGAGGCCGACAGGCGUAGGCGAUGGAUAACAGGUUGAUAUUCCUGUACCACCUAUAAUCGUUUUAAUCGAUGGGGGGACGCAGUAGGAUAGGCGAAGCGUGCGAUUGGAUUGCACGUCUAAGCAGUAAGGCUGAGUAUUAGGCAAAUCCGGUACUCGUU